This 203-nucleotide microRNA precursor is filed under the name Oryza sativa Japonica Group (Japanese rice). RNAcentral's name for it is "MIR812 microRNA precursor family". It matches the Rfam family "MIR812 microRNA precursor family". Lineage: Eukaryota; Viridiplantae; Streptophyta; Magnoliopsida; Poales; Poaceae. The record is from Rfam by way of RNAcentral.
AAAAAAGCAAACCUUGGGCUUCCGUGUCCAACGUUUGACUGUCCGUCUUAUAUAAAAUUUUUUUAUAAUUGGUAUUUUCAUUGUUGCAAGAUGAUAAAACAUGAUUAAUACUUUAUGCGUGACUUGUCUUUUUAAUUUUUUUUAUAUUUUUUCAAAUAAGAUGGACGGUCAAACGUUGGACACGGCUUAGGGUUUGUCUCUUU